CAAGGCGUAGCUAUAACAAAAAGCAUUCAGCUUACACCUGAAAGAUAUCUACCACCCCCGGAUCGCCUUGA
Molecule: transfer RNA, 71 nt
Filed under: Glaucidium cuculoides (Asian barred owlet)
Lineage: Eukaryota; Metazoa; Chordata; Aves; Strigiformes; Strigidae
Description: tRNA-Val
Source: RNAcentral